This is a long non-coding RNA of Arabidopsis thaliana (thale cress), 207 nucleotides long. RefSeq annotates it as other RNA. The record is from RefSeq. NCBI's taxonomy places the organism in Eukaryota, Viridiplantae, Streptophyta, Magnoliopsida, Brassicales, Brassicaceae. The transcript has a single exon.
ACCUUUCUUUCUUCCAGGGAGCCAGGGAAGGAAUGGUCUCGCAUUACUUCUUCUGCGCCUUUUCAGAAUCAAUGAAUCUUAUCGAACCAAUAACGAUUCUGACGUCAUUCCUGACAUAUAAUGAUAUUCCUAUAUUUAUCACCUACCCACGUAUAUCUUUUGUCUAUAGCAAGAAUUUACUACUUGGGGAACAAGUUAUCAAAUACU